UCCAGACUCCUACGGGAGGCAGCAGUGGGGGAUAUUGCACAAUGGGGGGAACCCUGAUGCAGCGACGCCGCGUGGGUGAAGGAGCGUUUCGGCGCGUAAAGCCCUAUCGGCAGGGAAGAAGGAGGACGGUACCUGACUAAGAAGCCCCGGCUAACUACGUGCCAGCAGCCGCGGUAAUACGUAGGGGGCAAGCGUUAUCCGGAUUUACUGGGUGUAAAGGGGGCGCAGACGGCAGCGCAAGCCAGGAGUGAAAGCCCGGGGCCCAACCCCGGGACUGCUCUUGGAACUGCGCGGCUGGAGUGCAGGAGGGGCAGGCGGAAUUCCUGGUGUAGCGGUGAAAUGCGUAGAUAUCAGGAGGAACACCGGUGGCGAAGGCGGCCUGCUGGACUGCAACUGACGUUGAGGCCCGAAAGCGUGGGGAGCAAACAGGAUUAGAUACCCGAGUACA
Molecule: ribosomal RNA, 448 nt
Filed under: uncultured bacterium
Lineage: Bacteria
Description: partial 16S ribosomal RNA
Rfam family: Bacterial small subunit ribosomal RNA
Source: RNAcentral